RNAcentral lists this unclassified non-coding RNA (341 nucleotides) under uncultured Pezizales. Its description in RNAcentral is "sequence contains ITS1". The stretch from base 1 to 105 matches the Rfam family "5.8S ribosomal RNA", at positions 50 to 154 of the family's 154-position model. Lineage: Eukaryota; Fungi; Ascomycota; Pezizomycetes; Pezizales. The record is from RNAcentral. RNAcentral also lists the same sequence under 1 other name.
GAAAUGCGAUAAGUAGUGUGAAUUGCAGAAUUCAGUGAAUCAUCGAAUCUUUGAACGCACAUUGCGCCUUAUGGUAGUCCGUAAGGCAUGCCUGUUCGAACGUCAUCAAAACCCUCGAGUCCUCUGGCUUUACCAGCCACGGGAGCCUCGGUAUUGCUCGUGGACGGACCUUCAUGGUCCCUCCAGGGCGAAUUCCAUUGUGCUGAUUCCACAGGUCGCCACAGCGUAGUAAGCCUAAAAAGCUCUCGCCUGGCUAAUGACUUGGCUGGCGUCAUGCCAUUGAACCCCACAAUCUCAAAGAGUUUGACUUCGGAUCAGGUAGGGAUACCCGCUGAACUUAA